RNAcentral lists this long non-coding RNA (1011 nucleotides) under Oryctolagus cuniculus (rabbit). RNAcentral describes it as "lncRNA (ENSOCUG00000031612.1)". Lineage: Eukaryota; Metazoa; Chordata; Mammalia; Lagomorpha; Leporidae. The record is from RNAcentral.
AUGGAGCUGCCCAGGGCUGCCAGCUCUGAAGGGGUGGUGGAGCUCUGUGCCACGUGGUGUGCCUUGGGAUUGCCUGCCCAUGCACACUUGCCUUCCAGCUACACCCUCGUCUAUUGCCUCCAGCUACAGAGUACCAUGUCGCUCCCCCUCUUCAUGGAGGAACGACACCAAACCCUGCCUAGGCUUCAUAUCCGAGUCACUGCACCAUUAUGUCGCUCCCCCUCUUUGUGGAGGAACGACACAGGACCCUGCAUUGUUCUUUUGUCUGCUCGGCCCUUCCCGGGUUUGCUGCUGGUCCUUCCCGGGUUGGCUACCGUCCCUUCCACCUCCGUGGAAGGGCGGUUCCCCCUGCCACUUUCCCCACUUCCGCGGGGGAGCAGCACACCGCCGGCCAGCUCUCUUGGGGGCUGCACAGGUGUUCCUUCAGAUAGAUGUUCCCGGUGCAUGUUGUCUCUCUCCUCCUUUAUAGUCCUCUUCCACCAAUCCCAACUCUGCUACCCACACGCCGAGUAUGCUGCUCUCCUCCAAUCAGGAGCAGGUCCUGCAGCUUAUUGGUUGAACUGGAGGCAGCUGUGUAGAAGCUGUUUCCUCCUCUCCCAGCGCCAUAUUGUGGGAAAGCAGAUGCAUACAAUAAGUCUUAAUUCCAGUAACAGUCUAGUCCGAGUUGCUCCCCACAGAUCCCCCUUUCUUUUUAUUUUUGGCGUUGAUACGUGCCUGUCUUCGGUGCCCCGCGGCACACACUCUGCUCUGCUUGCUAGAGUUGCCCACAGGUGCUUACAAGCCCUACCAAUCAGGCAAACUGAAUCCGGGUCCUCUCUUCGCCAUGUUGUGAGGAGGUUUUUAGGCGCUGAUGCGUGCCUGUGUUCGGUGCCCUGCAGCGCAUGCUCUGCUCUGCUAGAACUUCCUGCAGGUGCUUACAAGCCCUACCAAUCAGGCAAACUGAAUCCAAGCCCUCUCAUUGCCGUCUUGUGGGGAGACUUAUUGGUGUUGAUUCGUGCCUAUCUUCGGUGA